CCCAUGUGGAGAUCAGAGAACUUUGG
RNAcentral lists this non-coding RNA (26 nucleotides) under Cricetulus griseus (Chinese hamster). The record is from RNAcentral. Lineage: Eukaryota; Metazoa; Chordata; Mammalia; Rodentia; Cricetidae.